CCUACGGGGGGCAGCAGUGAGGAAUAUUGGGCAAUGGACGAGAGUCGGAACCAGCCAAGUAGCGUGAAGGAGGACAGCCCGAUGGGUUGUAAACGGCUGUUAUAUGGGAAUAAAAUGUACCACGUGUGGGAUUUUGUAUGUACCAUAUGAAUAAGGAUCGGCUAACUCCGUGCCAGCAGCCGCGGUAAUACGGAGGAUCCGAGCGUUAUCCGGAGUUAUUGGGUUUAAAGGGCGCGUAGGUGGAUUGUUAAGUCAGUUGUGAAAGUUUGCGGCUCAACCGUAAAAUUGCAGUUGAAACUGGCAGUCUUGAGUACAGUAGAGGUGGGCGGAAUUCGUGGUGUAGCGG
RNAcentral lists this ribosomal RNA (346 nucleotides) under uncultured bacterium. Its description in RNAcentral is "partial 16S ribosomal RNA". It matches the Rfam family "Bacterial small subunit ribosomal RNA", at positions 338 to 681 of the family's 1533-position model. The record is from RNAcentral.